UGAGCUUGGAAUUAAUUUUUAUCUCGUCUGCAUUUUGUGGAUGAUUCUUCUGUUGAGUGUUUGUAAUUUGUUCACACUCCAAGGAUAUGAUCCCAUGAUGACAGAUGAGAUAAGAAAUUUUUCCACGGCUACA
This 133-nucleotide microRNA precursor is filed under the name Lotus japonicus. Its description in RNAcentral is "miR11124 stem-loop (lja-MIR11124)". Lineage: Eukaryota; Viridiplantae; Streptophyta; Magnoliopsida; Fabales; Fabaceae. The record is from miRBase by way of RNAcentral.